GGAGAGUUAGCUCAGUUGGUAGAGCACUACGUUGACAUCGUAGGGGUCGCUGGUUCAAGUCCAGUACUGUCCACCA
Molecule: transfer RNA, 76 nt
Filed under: Aedoeadaptatus coxii
Lineage: Bacteria; Bacillati; Bacillota; Tissierellia; Tissierellales; Peptoniphilaceae
Also listed under: 5 other names
Description: Peptoniphilus coxii tRNA-Val
Rfam family: tRNA
About the family: Transfer RNA (tRNA) molecules are approximately 80 nucleotides in length. Their secondary structure includes four short double-helical elements and three loops (D, anti-codon, and T loops).
Source: RNAcentral